Molecule: long non-coding RNA, 1079 nt
Organism: Raphanus sativus (radish)
Lineage: Eukaryota; Viridiplantae; Streptophyta; Magnoliopsida; Brassicales; Brassicaceae
Exons: 2
Source: RefSeq, a predicted model, not a curated record
AAAACUAAGUGAUUUUAUUUUAAAUUACUUAUUUACAAAUGAUACUAAUAUAAAUAAUCUAACAUCAGUUAAAUUAAAUGAUGUUAUAUUAAUUGAUUUGGCAUCAGUUAAACAAAGUGAUAUGAUUUUUGUAUCACUUGAACCUAAACGAUACGAUUAUAUUUAUUUAUAUCAAUUAAAUAAUUGAUGUAAUGAUUUUUUUGUUAACAUCACUUAGUAAAUUGAUAUAAUAUUUACAUCAAUAAGAAACUGACGCUAACAAAAAAAAUUCUCACUGCAUUUUCUUUUGACAUCAGUUUAAUUAAAAUGAUGUUAUUUUAUUUAAAUUUGCAUCACUUAAAACCUUUUUCUGAUACAAAACUUGAAAAAACCUUGAUAAUAAAAGCUCUUUUCAAAAAAAAAAUAAAGAACCUAGAUAAUAAAAAAACGUGAUGCAGUUGAGAUCUAGUGGGUUUAAUAUUUUUCUCUUAUGGCUGCAAUUUAAUUGGAUUUUGUUUUAACUGUUUCAUCUAAAAAAAGCAUAUUCUUUUUAAUCAAAACCUAGAUCCUAUUUAGCAGUUCCUCUCUUCUCUAAUGCUUGAACUUUCUUAACAGUUUAAUUGUUCUAUCUGUUUCUUUUAUACGAGCCAAGAGAUAGAAGCCAGUCGUGAAGUGAACCAUUAUUUUCUUAUAUGAUGAUGACCACGAAUUUGGUUGGAAAUCUGAGAAGAUUUUACUAAAGAGAUGAUUAUCAAUCUUAUUUUAUAUCUCCGGAGCAAGAGACUUGAUCGUAUGAUUACAUAAUUUGUCAUUGAGUACCAAAGGCAUGAAUCAUUGAAAGAGGAAACUAGUUCUAGUCUAGUGAUGACGGAUUCUCCAAUCUUAUUAACAUCACUCAAACGAUUAUAUGCUACUAAUGGAGAUCGAAGAUGAAAAAGAGAUGAAGAUGACAAAAUGUCGAUUGAAGAACUCAUGUGGGGAAUUCACUUAGCUUCUCUUUGUUCAUUUUUUCUGAGAUUUUUUUUGUAAAGCUUUUAUUUUAUUUUUUCCUUUCUCAUACCUGUGUGUACAAACAAAUUAUAAAUGGAAAAAUAUUUUGU